GAUGAACGCUAGCGGCAGGCCUAAUACAUGCAAGUCGGACGGGAUCCAUUGAUAGCUUGCUAUCAAUGGUGAGAGUGGCGCACGGGUGCGUAACGCGUGAGCAACCUGCCUCCAUCAGGGGGAUAGCCUCUCGAAAGAGGGAUUAACACCGCAUAAUAUCAACAGUUCGCAUGUUCAGUUGAUUAAAUAUUUAUAGGAUGGAGAUGGGCUCGCGUGACAUUAGCUAGUUGGUAGGGUAACGGCUUACCAAGGCGACGAUGUCUAGGGGCUCUGAGAGGAGAAUCCCCCACACUGGUACUGAGACACGGACCAGACUCCUACGGGAGGCAGCAGUAAGGAAUAUUGGUCAAUGGGCGGAAGCCUGAACCAGCCAUGCCGCGUGCAGGAUGACUGCCCUAUGGGUUGUAAACUGCUUUUGUCCAGGAAUAAACCUAAAUACGAGUAUUUAGCUGAAUGUACUGGAAGAAUAAGGAUCGGCUAACUCCGUG
RNAcentral lists this ribosomal RNA (488 nucleotides) under uncultured bacterium. RNAcentral describes it as "partial 16S ribosomal RNA". It matches the Rfam family "Bacterial small subunit ribosomal RNA", at positions 28 to 507 of the family's 1533-position model. The record is from RNAcentral.